This 1218-nucleotide long non-coding RNA is filed under the name Vulpes vulpes (red fox). RNAcentral's name for it is "lncRNA (ENSVVUG00000027496.1)". The record is from RNAcentral. Lineage: Eukaryota; Metazoa; Chordata; Mammalia; Carnivora; Canidae.
CGGCCUUCCCACCAACCAAAGCCCCUCCUUACCAAAGCAAAAUAACCGGAGGAAGAAGUCGAAUUGGUUGAAAGAAAACAUUUUUAUAUUAUACAUACAACACGGGGCUCAGGAUGACAGUGCCAGCUGUGGGCGGAGGACACAGGGGCUGUCCCUCCCCUGGGGCCUCCGGGUGCUGGGUCCCAGCCAGGUCUCCCUGGGGCGUGGGGCAAGCCUGGAGGAGCGGGUCAGACAAGCAGGCUUCCCCCUGGUGCUGUCGCUGCUUCACCGCCUAAGGGUGGCCGUACACUCUGCUGCUGAGCUCCGCAUCCACGGGUCCUCGCUGUCCCGGGGGUCAAGGCCGCACGCAGGGUCCUGUUUGCUGAAGCGCUCGAUGACGCACGGGGGUGGGAGAUGACGUGGCUCGCCACAGCCCACGGCCAGGGGGCCCCCUGCGCGGUGGGGGCUGGGCCGUGUCCCCCAGCCCCGAGGUCACUGGCCCAAAAGCUGCUGCCAGGGACCACGCCCUCAGUAGGGAUAAGGGGACACCGCGAUGAGCAGGACGAAGACGCUCUGGUGGCGCGGCGCGGCGGCGCGCACGGUGAGCCGGUAGAGGCCGGCGCGGGGAUGUUUCCAAUGUGGAGCCGCCACUUGGUGCUGGACAGGAGACGGGGCCCGUCACCUGCUGUGGAAUCAAUGUUUGUCCUCUAUGUAAAGUCCAAGGUGUUCAGCUGUACUCAGCAGGAGGAAUGGAGAGAAGUGCGUCUACACCAUCUUGUCUGGAACCCCCCACUCUGCCCCCUGCAGUCCAUGACAAAAAUUUUCAACAAACUAGGUAUAAAAUAAAACUUCCUCCACCUGAUAAAAAGCCACCUACAAAACCCCACAGCUGCCAUCACACUCAAUGGUGUAAGAUUGAAUGCUCCCUGCCUACAGCUAGGAACAAGGCAAGGCCAUCUGCUCUCUCCACUUCCUGUAUCAGAGGGUUUAACCAAUGCAAAGCAGCAAUGCAAGGAAAUGAAAGAUAUCCAGAGAGGCAAGGGAGAGGUAAAACUGUCUCUCCUCAUAGAUGAUGUGUAGAAAGUCCUAUACACAGAAGCUCUUAGGGAAUCUAGCAAAAAUGACCAGGAAUCAAUAAUGAAUUUAGCAAGGUUUUAAGAAUCAGAUACAAAAAUCAAUUGGAUUCUUGUAUAUUAGCAAUGCAAAAUCCAAAAAUCAAAUGAAGAAAACAAUUCCACC